GCCCUAGUGGCGGAACUGGUAGACGCGCUAGACUCAAAAUCUGGUGAUGGCAACAUCGUGGGGGUUCGAGUCCCUCCUGGGGCA
This 84-nucleotide transfer RNA is filed under the name Bacteroidota bacterium. Its description in RNAcentral is "Bacteroidetes bacterium tRNA-Leu". It matches the Rfam family "tRNA". From Rfam's summary of the family: Transfer RNA (tRNA) molecules are approximately 80 nucleotides in length. Their secondary structure includes four short double-helical elements and three loops (D, anti-codon, and T loops). RNAcentral also lists the same sequence under 1 other name. Lineage: Bacteria; Pseudomonadati; Bacteroidota. The record is from RNAcentral.